AAUUAUUUCAUUUAUUUAUUUACUUCAGACUUGCAUCUAGCUCUACAGUCAAAAUAGCUACAUCUAGCGACUCAGAGAAAGAAACAACCUGGAAGCUGUGUUCUCAGCAGUACAAACACACUUUGCUUUUUUUAAUGUUUUUGUGGUUUUUUUGUUUUUGUUUUUUUUUUCGCCUCUCUUCACUGAAGCACUGCUGCACAACCCUGAAGAAAACCCAUUUCUAAGCACUAAUACACGCGUUAAUUUGCUCAAUUUGCUCUCAGAAGGCCCGGACAGCUGCAGGAAGCCUACCAGCCACCCCCACUCACAGCUGACACCCCCCGCCGCGCUCAGCAGGCACAGCACCGCGUUCCGAGCCGCGCGAGCCCGUUGGCUCUCGUGCACUGUAUGUACUGCAACUGAAGCCACCGAGUUGUUUUUUUUUUCCAGUCCGAAAAAAAAACCGCCGCAACAUCAUUCUGGAAUGGAAACGCGCGGUACUCACGUGGUCUAGGCGGAGCAGCGUGCCUCGGAGAACCGACGGAAGAAACAUCUCCUUGUUUCCAGGAAAGCGUAAUCCCUUCGGCUCCUACAGCGGGAGCACGGAGAGGGACCGGGAAAGAGCACGCCUUCUCUAAGCCAGAGGGGCGGGGGCACGCGGGCGGUGAGGGGCGCGCGGCCCCCGGGACAGCGGGGAGGGACCGCCUGGGCGGUGCUGGAGGGAGGGGCGCGUGCAGGAGUGCUGGCAACGGACCGGGCUGGUCCCGGGCACUGCCCAGCUGCUCCCUCACGAAACACGUGCUGCAUCAGCUUUGUCUCAGCGGGCGAAGGCUCCGCGUCUUGUACCAGUUAAUCAGAAGGCUCUUGCUGUUACUUUUCCAGGGCUGUCAGGUGCAGCUGGAGGGGCAGCUCUGGAAGCGUACUCCGCCGGGCGCGUGGCCAGAACCGCUCCGCGCCUCUGGGAAAGGCAGAUUCGUUCGCCCUCGGCGAACACGUAGUAAAACAAGUGAAUUCCCGGUUACUCGACUGCUGUGCUUCCCUAAACGCCGGUGCCACGGUGAGCUGCCCGAGGGAAGAGCAGAGGCUUCUCAUCCCUUGGGAUGUGCCCAGGCGGACCUCGUUUGGAGAGCUCCGAACCCGCGGGCCGAGGACAGUGGUUGAGACAUACAGAUGUACUUGUACUUAUGACAAUGAAGACAAAAAAAAAACCACUCAGGAGAUAAAUGAACACUGAGGAGAAAAAGGACAUGAAAGGUAAGCUACUACAGCACUGUAGAAGUUAAAGCUUUCAAUUUGUCAAUCAAAAGUAGUCAUAUAUAUAGUAGAUAACUCAUUAACAAAAGUAUUUCCUGACUUUUUUGCUGGAUGUACGUAUGGAAUCUUGAGGGAUGCAAGUGCUUCUAAACUUCCGUCGCAUUUGGCUUACAUUUCUUUUAUGCUAUUGUGGAUUGGGUUCAUUCAUGUAUAAAACAACAUGUUUGAGUUAUUGAUGGGACUUGGAUGAAGGAAUUAAUGUUAUAGUCUUGUUAUUG
This 1511-nucleotide long non-coding RNA is filed under the name Phasianus colchicus (ring-necked pheasant). Its description in RNAcentral is "lncRNA (ENSPCLG00000008000.1)". The record is from RNAcentral. Lineage: Eukaryota; Metazoa; Chordata; Aves; Galliformes; Phasianidae.